UUGACCUCAAAUCAGGUAGGACUACCCGCUGAGCUUAAGCAUAUCU
Molecule: ribosomal RNA, 46 nt
Filed under: Xerocomus subtomentosus
Lineage: Eukaryota; Fungi; Basidiomycota; Agaricomycetes; Boletales; Boletaceae
Description: partial 28S ribosomal RNA
Source: RNAcentral